This is an RNA transcript of Callithrix jacchus (white-tufted-ear marmoset), 1923 nucleotides long. It is a transcript of the gene named doublecortin domain containing 2C, with no coding region annotated. Lineage: Eukaryota; Metazoa; Chordata; Mammalia; Primates; Cebidae. The record is from RefSeq and is a predicted model, not a curated record.
CCGCCCGGCAGCCCAGUCCGUCUCCGUCCCGCGCCCGCGGGUGGAGCGACCUCCAGUCCGCGGUGCCUGGGCCUGGGCGCAGUUCUGCAGGCGUCUCUGCCCGCGUUGCCGCCUCUCGGCCCCGGCGAGUGAGGAGCGGGGCGCGGCCAUGGGCACCCGCGGGCCCCCCGCGCUGCUGGACACCACGCCCGCCAAGACCAUCGUGGUGUACCGCAACGGGGACCCGUUCUACCCGGGCAGGAGGUUCGUGCUGCCGCGGCGCCGCGCCACCACCUUCGAGGCGCUGCUGGAGCAGCUCACGGAGCAGGUGGACGUCCCGUUCGGCGUGCGCCGCCUCUUCACGCCCACGCGGGGGCGCCCGGUGCUGGCGCUGGACGCGCUGCAGGCGGGCGGCAAGUACGUGGCUGCGGGCCGCGAGCGCUUCAGGGAGCUCGAUUAUAUUCAUAUAGUUCCCCGAAAACCUGCAAAGAUAAGGAAGUUGAAGGAAAUCAAACCGGUGGUGCAUUGUGACAUAAAUGUGCCUUCCAGGUGGCAAACAUGUCAUCGUAUAUCCCGACAUAUAAACCAUGAGACAUGGACAAAGGUUGAACACCUUGUAAUUGGAUCAGCAAUGAACAAAACAGCACGAGGUCCUUCUUGUGUGGAUUCAAGUGUUUUUACAAAUGGAAGAUUAUUUGUUCCACCUGCAAAGAUUAUUAUACCCCAGUUUAGCCUGUCUGAUUGGGAUAUCGUGCUGGCCAUGAUUGGAGAAAAAGUCUUCCCUCUAGGAGGUGUCCGGAAAUUAUUUACAAUGGAUGGGCAUGUUUUGGAUAACUCAAAGGAUUUGCAAGACCAUCACUUUUACGUUGCUGUGGGACUGGAGAGCUUCAAGCGUUUUCCUUACUGGAAGUCUCCGAGGGUGCCCAGUGAGGUCCAACAAAUAUAUGCGAAUGUUGAAAAACACCUACAGAGAAAGAAGAAAGUAAAUAACGUUUUAAAACAAGUGGAUUCCAAAGGAGAAGUACCUCCUAAAUAUGAUGGCAUACCCCCUAAAACACAGGAUUCCGUUUAUCAUGCCAAGGAAGAAAAGAAGAGAACAUUGAUAGAACCUUCAGUCGAAAGGGGCGCAGAAGGUGAUGUGUAUAAAGCACCAACUCCUAGCCAGGAAACCCAGGGAGCACUGGAGGUCAAAGAAGAUGGCAACGUGCAGCUGGAGGUGCCUGUGGACCAGAGACCAGCUGAGAUAGUUAAAGAAGAUGAAGAGAUACAUGAGAACACCCCCGAUUUUGAGGGCAGCAAGGAAAACGAAGAUGCAAGGCUUUGUGAAGACGUUGAAAGAAAGGUUUGCAUCAACGAUAGCUGUGGUUUUGUUCGAAGACAGAGCUAACGAGAGAACGCAUGGAUCCCCAGCUCUUGGCAGUAUCUCUCAAGAACCUCAGCAAGAGUGAAAAAGUGAUUCCAUUUCCUGCUAAGAGACCCUAUGACCAGUGCUCACUCACGGACCCUUCUGUGUGACACAGGGCACAGCGCGGGUGAACGUGUCUGCAGCGAGGCCCCGGCGAUUCCCUGCCCCGCUGGGGGCGUCACCAAGCUUCCCACUGAUGGGCAGCCAUCCCCUGUGCUCAUGUGGCCUUUGAAUAAACCACGCUCUCAUGACUCUGCCUGGAGCCCCCUAAGCCAUCUUGUGUAUGGCAAGCUUCAGAUGGCCCAGGAGUGGAAACCUGUAGACUAACAAAACCACCUUUAUUGUCUACCUGAAGUCCACUUCUCUUCAACCGUGGGGCUUCCGUCUCACAUAUGGACAUGUUAACAGCAAGAAAAUCACAUCUGGGGUGAAACUGAAGCCCCACACAGUGGUGUAUUCUCAAAAGCUAAGGACGAGGUUUCCCACUUACUCCCUUUCUCGGUGAUAUUUCUUUUUAGUAAACAUUUUAAAGAAUGAAA